RNAcentral lists this transfer RNA (73 nucleotides) under Stegodyphus mimosarum. It matches the Rfam family "tRNA". Rfam says of the family: Transfer RNA (tRNA) molecules are approximately 80 nucleotides in length. The record is from Rfam by way of RNAcentral. Lineage: Eukaryota; Metazoa; Arthropoda; Arachnida; Araneae; Eresidae.
GCCUUCUUGGUGUAGUGGUUAACACACUCGACGCGUAUUCGGGAGGUCUGUGGUUCGAAUCCCGACGAGGGCC